AACCGCGCAUGGAGGCCAUUGCAGCUAGGGUUUGACCUAAGCCAUCUCCUAGACAACAUCGAAGACUUGUGGUGUCAGCUCCCUCUGGUGAAUGCCCUAGGUUCCGUCAAGUUCUAGUGGAAGGAUGCACAUACCGAUGGAGAGCAGCGAUAUUUAUAGUCCAGAGGUGUCAUGGGGCGAAGGGCACGUUGAUCGGGGCCGAAAACGGUCCAGGCCGACCCCCAUAGUACGAUCA
This 235-nucleotide long non-coding RNA is filed under the name Setaria italica (foxtail millet). RNAcentral's name for it is "long non-coding RNA (SITA_LNC003068)". Lineage: Eukaryota; Viridiplantae; Streptophyta; Magnoliopsida; Poales; Poaceae. The record is from RNAcentral.